This is a long non-coding RNA of Lycium barbarum (goji berry), 740 nucleotides long. RefSeq lists it as uncharacterized. Lineage: Eukaryota; Viridiplantae; Streptophyta; Magnoliopsida; Solanales; Solanaceae. The record is from RefSeq and is a predicted model, not a curated record. The transcript is spliced from 2 exons.
CCAAUUACUUUUAUUUUUCCUCAGACCCUUCAGUUGCUUUCCCUUUGUUGAACAAAACACAGGAACCAAACGAAUCCUAAGUUCUCUUACCCCCUUUCAACAAAUCCAGCGAUUGCCAGCUCAUUUCCGGCCAGUUUUUUUCAUCGAUUCUCAGCUUUUGCCUCACUAUUUCGGGGAAAGCAUUAAUGGGAGUUUGUCCCGAACGGUAGUAUUGUUUUCCCUUUACUUUCCAAUUCAAUUUCAUUCAGCUUUCUCAGCACGAUUCCACGGAUUCCAAAUAAACAAGUUCUUUUCAACCUAAAACCCAACCAUUUGGGGUUCUUCAUCUCAGACCACGGUUUUGAAGGGCUAGAACAAGUGUUCUUACAAAGAAAUUUUGGAAAAAGGAUUCUUAUCCUAAACCAAUUUUCUGAGUUUAAAGUUCUGAAACCUAAGUUCAUCUCUCGUCUUCUUUCGAGUGUUCAAAUCUUUGGCGGAAGGAAGUAUUUUCGCUCAGUCGCUGCUCCGCAACAGUCCAGUGGACUUCCUCCAGCAUUAGGUGUUAGCCCAACAUAGUGCUAUCUCGAGUCAGCCCCAUUAAUUAACCAACAGUAGCAGCAGCUAGAUGACAUUGGAGAAGCCCAAUUAGUUCACUCUUCCUUAAGUUCCUUUACCUUUACUUCAUUUUUUUGUUGUGCAUUUUGUGUUGUAAAACUUGACUAACGUUUUACUUUGUUUUAUUUAACCACAUCUUUAUCCCA